GAACUGCUGCAGGUGCUUGUCCUUUCUCUUUUGUUAAUCCUAAGACAAUGGCUAUUCCACCCCUUCAUUCUUGCUAUCUCAUACGGUUUGAUGUAGAAAGAAGCAGUGAUUGGCUAAAGCAGACCAUAAUGCGAUUUUACUUAAAGAAAUUACCCAUUCACGCCAGAGUUAGCUGCAUCUUAUAAAAUUUGGGUGUCAAUAAUAAAUCUUGCUUUUACUAUCACACUGUUUUUGAGAUAGCAGCAUCUUAUAAAAUUUGGAUGUCAAUAUAAAUCUUGUUUGACUAUUGCAAUGUUCUUCUUAUUUUGGAAUCAUCUCUUUGAGCAUCAUUCUUCUAUACUUGCAUAUUGUAACUGAAUUAUCAAUUUGCGCGUGUAUUUAAUCCCCUUGUUUAUAAUAAAUUUGCUAUGCAGUUGCGAAAGGAAGG
This 427-nucleotide unclassified non-coding RNA is filed under the name Hevea brasiliensis (rubber tree). Lineage: Eukaryota; Viridiplantae; Streptophyta; Magnoliopsida; Malpighiales; Euphorbiaceae. The record is from RNAcentral.